UGAGUAGGCGGUUGCAUAUGUCAGAUGUAAAAGGCACAGGCUUAACUUGUGUUAGCAUUUGAAACUGUGCGACUUGAGUGCAGGAGAGGUAAGUGGAAUUCCUAGUGUAGCGGUGAAAUGCGUAGAUAUUAGGAGGAACACCAGUGGCGAAGGCGACUUACUGGACUGUAACUGACGCUGAGUCACGAAAAGCGUGGGUAGCAAACA
Molecule: ribosomal RNA, 207 nt
Filed under: uncultured Eubacteriales bacterium
Lineage: Bacteria; Bacillati; Bacillota; Clostridia; Eubacteriales
Description: uncultured Clostridiales bacterium partial 16S ribosomal RNA
Rfam family: Bacterial small subunit ribosomal RNA
Source: RNAcentral